GGUUCUAUGGUGUAAUGGUUAGCACUCUGGACUUUGAAUCCAGUGAUCCGAGUUCAAAUCUCGGUAGAACCU
This 72-nucleotide transfer RNA is filed under the name Clupea harengus (Atlantic herring). It matches the Rfam family "tRNA". Rfam says of the family: Transfer RNA (tRNA) molecules are approximately 80 nucleotides in length. Their secondary structure includes four short double-helical elements and three loops (D, anti-codon, and T loops). Lineage: Eukaryota; Metazoa; Chordata; Actinopteri; Clupeiformes; Clupeidae. The record is from Rfam by way of RNAcentral. RNAcentral also lists the same sequence under 11 other names.